Molecule: long non-coding RNA, 335 nt
Filed under: Hordeum vulgare
Lineage: Eukaryota; Viridiplantae; Streptophyta; Magnoliopsida; Poales; Poaceae
Description: long non-coding RNA (HVUL_LNC009656)
Source: RNAcentral
AAAUAACUAGCUGGACUGGACUCGAGAUGACGGAGGAUCCAAAAAACUACCUGGACUAGACUCGAGACCACGCACAAUUUAGUCUAUGGCUGGGCCAGUUUCAUUUGAUGGUUUGCUAUGAGAAUUAUGAGUUUUAUGAAUCUAUUAUAUGUACGGUUUUGAAUAGUGUAAUUGAAUGCCAUGUUUUUUUAUGGUUGCAAUAGGCUAUUACCACGACCUACUUUUUGUUGUCACAUGUUUGCACAACGAAAAUUAUAGUGUUGCAAUAGAGCACUUUAUAUUGUCGCAAUAGCUUUGGCACCACAAUUUUUCCCCAUGAUGCAAUAACUGUGUGG